This 917-nucleotide ribosomal RNA is filed under the name Chrysochromulina sp. clone 124. RNAcentral's name for it is "bacterial SSU rRNA". It matches the Rfam family "Bacterial small subunit ribosomal RNA", at positions 247 to 1188 of the family's 1533-position model. Lineage: Eukaryota; Haptophyta; Prymnesiales; Chrysochromulinaceae. The record is from RNAcentral.
AGUGGGUGGGGUAACGGCUCACCUAGGCGACGAUCCCUAGCUGGUCUGAGAGAACGAUCAGCCACACUGGGACUGAGACACGGCCCAGACUCCUCCGGGAGGCAGCAGUGAGGAAUUUUCCGCAAUGGGCGAAAGCCUGACAGAGCAAUACCGCGUGAGGGAUGAAGGAUUUUGGUCUGUAAACCUCUUUUCUCAAGAAAGAAGUUCUGACGGUACUUGAGGAAUAAGCAUCGGCUAACUCCGUGCCAGCAGCCGCGGUAAUACGGGGGAUGCAAGCGUUAUCCGGAAUCAUUGGGCGUAAAGCGCCUGUAGGUUGUUUAAUAAGUCUGUUGUUAAAGACUAGGGCUCAACCCUAGAAAAGCAAUGGAAACUACUAGACUAGAGUAUGGCAGGGGUAGAGGGAAUUUCUAGUGUAGCGGUGAAAUGCGUAGAUAUUAGAAAGAACACCGGUGGCGAAAGCGCUCUACUGGACCAUUACUGACACUCAGAGGCGAAAGCUAGGGUAGCAAAAGGGAUUAGAUACCCCUGUAGUCCUAGCCGUAAACGAUGGAUACUAGAUGUUGCAUUUAACGUGCAGUAUCUUAGCUAACGCGUUAAGUAUCCCGCCUGGGGAGUACGCUCGCAAGGGUGAAACUCAAAGGAAUUGACGGGGGCCCGCACAAGCGGUGGAGCAUGUGGUUUAAUUCGAUGCAACGCGAAGAACCUUACCAGGGCUUGACAUACUACAAAUUUCUUUGAAAAAAGAAAGUGCCUUCGGGAAUGUAGAUACAGGUGGUGCAUGGCUGUCGUCAGCUUGUGUCGUGAGAUGUUGGGUUAAGUCCCGCAACGAGCGCAACCCUUAUUUUUAGUUACCAAUUCGUUGGGUUUUCUAGAAAGACUGCCGGUGACAAACCGGAGGAAGGUGAGGAUGACGUCAA